Molecule: non-coding RNA, 81 nt
Organism: Podarcis lilfordi (Lilford's wall lizard)
Lineage: Eukaryota; Metazoa; Chordata; Lepidosauria; Squamata; Lacertidae
Source: the annotation of a GenBank genome assembly
ACCUCUGAGGUAGAUAGCUCAACUGGUAGAGAAUGAGACUCUUUAAUCUCAGCGUCAUGGGUUCAAGCACCAUAUUGGGUG